Fukomys damarensis (Damara mole-rat) is the source of this 3037-nucleotide long non-coding RNA. The record is from Ensembl. Lineage: Eukaryota; Metazoa; Chordata; Mammalia; Rodentia; Bathyergidae.
AACUGCCCCGAGGAAGGGAUUCUAAUCAAGCCAUGGUGGGAUACAGUUCAAGGUCAAGGCGAGGUCAGGAUCAAUGAAGGCAGAGUUGGACAGAUGAGGAAGGGGUGCUCAAGAUGGCGCGGCACAUGCCCAGCAUCACCCAGCGGUCAGCUCUCUGAGUGUAUCAGUGGCCAGGAAGGAAGACAGAGGACUUCGGCAGGGACGGGGACAUCCAGGAGUUCAGCGCUUCCAAGACAGACCAGCUGCAAAGACUCCAGGGAACUGUGUCGGAGCCCGGACAGAGGAGCCCAGGGCCUCGGCCCUGAGGAGACGCCUGAAGUGGCAGUGCCGCUCUGUCAGCCAAGGCCCAUGUGUGACACAAGCACAGUUCCUGUGCUGGCUAGUUUGGCAGGAACUAGGAAAGCAGGAAAUGAACAUGUGGACUUGGGAGUAGGAUGCUGGGCUCAGAUUGUGCCUCUGUCAUCUACUGGCUGAAAUGGUAGACAAAUUUCUAAAACUGAGCCUCGGUUUCUGCCACUGUACUGUGGAGGCAGUAGCAAGUCCUCUCUUAUUCCAUUAUAAUAGGAAUUAAAUUAUUUAAAUUGAGGCUGAUGGUGCACGCCCAUAACCCAACCCUACCAUCAUAGGGAGCCGAGACAGGGAGAUCGCUAGUUGGAACCUAGCUUGGACAAUUUAGUGACUCAGCAAGACCCUUUCUUUAAAAAAAAUAAUAAAAUUUAAAAAGGGCCAAGGGACCUCAGUGUGAAGGUCCUGGUUCAACCUCUAGGACGACAUAAUUUUAAAAAUAAACAGGGCCAGAGAUUUAGCUCAGUGGUUCCACCGCCAGCCUUGCUAGUGCAAGGUCCCGAGUUCCAUCCCUGAUACCAAAUAAAUAAGCAAAUAAAUAAAAUUAAAUAAAAAUAAAAGAUAAAAAUGGCUAGCACUGAGUUUAGUGCUCCCUGGAUUCAGUCCUUUGUACCAAACAAACAAACAAAAAAGUUAAAUCACUUAAUGUACAUAAAGGGCCUAGACUAGAGCAAUGGUUGGUAUAUAAUACAGGCUCAAUAAAUGAGAACAAUUAUUACUAUUAUUAAAAUAGCAACUAUUCGUAGUGCAGGGUAAGCAUCCCUAAUCCCACAGUGUGAAAUCUGAAAUACUCUAAAAUCCAGAACUUUUUGACCAUACACUUGUCCUUUCAGAUAAGGGGUGUUCAGGGCCAGGGAUUUAGCUCAGCGGUUCCAUCUCCUACCCUUGCAAGCCAAGGUCCUGAAUUUGAUCCCCGUACAAAACAAAACAAAACAAAACAAAAACAAGGGAUUAGGGGUGCUCAACUACUAAAUCCCAGAUUCCAGAAUCCAAAAACUCAGAAAUCAGAAACACUCAUGGAGCCGGGCGUGGUGGAGCAUGCCUGUAAUCCCUGCCAGGAGGCUGAGGCAGGAGGAUCACUGUGAAUUCGAGACCAGCCUGGGCUACACAGUGAGUUCCAGGUCAGUCUCAACUACAUAUUGAGACCCUGUCUCAAAAAAAGCAAAACAACAAAAAAGCAAAAAAAAAAGAAACACUCAUGGUCCCAAGAAUUUCAGAUAAAGGAUAUUCAACCUUUGUUAACCAGGGAGAGACGGUCAGACAUGUGCAAAUGAGGCUUGAAUAGAAAUAUCAUCAUUGCUCUAUUUUUAAUGCAGGCAAAUAGAAAGCCAUGUAAAUAUGUGUUUCUCACUUAGGGAGCAGCUAAGCAAACUAUGGCACAACGAUACUAUGGAAUUCUGAGCAGCAGUUAAACAGAAUGAGAAAGAUCCAUAUGGCCCAAUAUAAAAAGACUUCCAAAAUGUAGUGUCCAAUGAAAAAAACAAGGAACAGGAUACAUAGAGCAUAAAAAUUUAUGUGGAAGGCCGGGGAUGUAGUUCAGUGGCACCGUACCUGCCUUGCAAGUGAGUUCAAUCCCUGGUACCAAAAAAAGUAUGUAAAGCAUAAUAGUGCAAAUUAGUCCACGAGUGCACAUAUGUAUGCAAACCCAUAACACAGAGCCUAGGGCAUCUCUGUCCGCUAUGACCAGCCCACAUGUGGCUAUUUGAAUUUAAAUGCAAAUUAACUAAAAUUAAAUCAAAUCUGAAAUUCACUUCUUCACCGCUAUCCACCAUACCUCAAGUGCAGCUAGUGGCUGUCGCUCAGGCAAGUGCAAACUCGGGAUGUUUCCAUCAUAUGGAAUAUUCUAGUGGAUGGCACUAAUCUGGAGAGAUUCAACAAAACAAAACUGAUAUGCUGAGGAUUUAGCUCAGUGGUUCUGCCGCUUGCCUGGCAAGCACAAGGUCCAAGUUUGAUCCCCAGUAUCAAAAAAAAAAAAAAAAAAAAAAAAAGGAUUUGCUGGGCAUGGUGGCACAUGCCUGUAAUCCCAGAACUCAGGAGGCUGAGGCAGGAAGAUCUCUGUGAGUUCAAGACCAGCCAGGGCUACACAGCUUGUUCCACAGCAGUCUGAACUACAUAGUGAGACCGUAUCUCAAAAAACCAAACCGAAGCCAGGCGUGGUGUUGUACGCUGUAAUCCCAGCACUCAGGAGGCUGAGUCAGGAGGAUCGCUGUGAGUUUGAGACCAGCAUGGGCUACAUAGUAAGUUCAAGGUCAAUCUCAACUACACAGUGAGACCCUGUCUCAAAAAACAACAACAACAAAAAAACCCCCAAAACAAAACAAAGAAAAAACCAAGCCAAAACAAAAAAACUAAUAGCAGCAGUUACUUUGGCCUGGGGGACUGGGGAGGACAAAGAUUGCAGUAUUUUUUCUCUCUUUAACACAUUUGUAGGGCACUUACUCUGUACCAGGUGCUCUACUCAGUACCUGGAUGCUGGAACCCUCUCCCUGCCUGGGGACUUCCCAUACUCCUGGAUGAAGGGACAGGGAAACAAAGACUUUUUUUUCCACUUAUGUGCAUUUUAUUUCAGAUGAGGGAGGCUCUGUGCUUGUGUAAUUUAAACUUUAUAGAAGCAAACACAAGUAGCCCAGUCCUGGACUUCUACCUGAGUCUCAUGAGCUCCUUUCUCUUCCUCUCCCUCCCUCCUCCCCUG